This 496-nucleotide ribosomal RNA is filed under the name uncultured bacterium. RNAcentral describes it as "partial 16S ribosomal RNA". It matches the Rfam family "Bacterial small subunit ribosomal RNA", at positions 29 to 507 of the family's 1533-position model. The record is from RNAcentral.
AUGAACGCUGGCGGCGUGCCUCAUCCCUGCCAGUCGAGCGAACAGACGAGGAGCUUGCUCCUCUGACGUUAGCGGCGGACGGGUGAGUAACACGUGGAUAACCUACCUAUAAGACUGGGAUAACUUCGGGAAACCGGAGCUAAUACCGGAUAAUAUAUUUAACCGCAUGGUUCAAUAGUGAAAGACGGUUUUGCUGUCACUUAUAGAUGGAUCCUCGCCUCAUUAGCUAGUUGGUAAGGUAACGGCUUACCAAGGCAACGAUGCGUAGCCGACCUGAGAGGGUGAUCGGCCACACUGGAACUGAGACACGGUCCAGACUCCUACGGGAGGCAGCAGUAGGGAAUCUUCCGCAAUGGGCGAAAGCCUGACGGAGCAACGCCGCGUGAGUGAUGAAGGUCUUCGGAUCGUAAAACUCUGUUAUUAGGGAAGAACAAAUGUGUAAGUAACUAUGCACGUCUUGACGGUACCUAAUCAGAAAGCCACGGCUAACUACGUG